GUCGAACGGUGAAGCCCAGCUUGCUGGGUGGAUCAGUGGCGAACGGGUGAGUAACACGUGAGCAAUCUGCCCCUGACUCUGGGAUAAGCGCUGGAAACGGCGUCUAAUACUGGAUACGAGCUGCGAUCGCAUGGUCAGUAGCUGGAAAGAUUUUUUGGUCAGGGAUGAGCUCGCGGCCUAUCAGCUUGUUGGUGAGGUAAUGGCUCACCAAGGCGUCGACGGGUAGCCGGCCUGAGAGGGUGACCGGCCACACUGGGACUGAGACACGGCCCAGACUCCUACGGGAGGCAGCAGUGGGGAAUAUUGCACAAUGGGCGCAAGCCUGAUGCAGCAACGCCGCGUGAGGGAUGACGGCCUUCGGGUUGUAAACCUCUUUUAGCAGGGAAGAAGCGAAAGUGACGGUACCUGCAGAAAAAGCGCCGGCUAACUACGUGCCAGCAGCCGCGGUAAUACGUAGGGCGCAAGCGUUAUCCGGAAUUAUUGGGCGUAAAGAGCUCGUAGGCGGUUUGUCGCGUCUGCUGUGAAAUCCCGAGGCUCAACCUCGGGUCUGCAGUGGGUACGGGCAGACUAGAGUGCGGUAGGGGAGAUUGGAAUUCCUGGUGUAGCGGUGGAAUGCGCAGAUAUCAGGAGGAACACCGAUGGCGAAGGCAGAUCUCUGGGCCGUAACUGACGCUGAGGAGCGAAAGGGUGGGGAGCAAACAGGCUUAGAUACCCUGGUAGUCCACCCCGUAAACGUUGGGAACUAGUUGUGGGGUCCAUUCCACGGAUUCCGUGACGCAGCUAACGCAUUAAGUUCCCCGCCUGGGGAGUACGGCCGCAAGGCUAAAACUCAAAGGAAUUGACGGGGACCCGCACAAGCGGCGGAGCAUGCGGAUUAAUUCGAUGCAACGCGAAGAACCUUACCAAGGCUUGACAUACACCAGAACACUGUAGAAAUACGGGACUCUUUGGACACUGGUGAACAGGUGGUGCAUGGUUGUCGUCAGCUCGUGUCGUGAGAUG
RNAcentral lists this ribosomal RNA (1002 nucleotides) under Actinomycetes bacterium. RNAcentral describes it as "bacterial SSU rRNA". It matches the Rfam family "Bacterial small subunit ribosomal RNA", at positions 61 to 1074 of the family's 1533-position model. Lineage: Bacteria; Bacillati; Actinomycetota; Actinomycetes. The record is from RNAcentral.